AUUGAACGCUGGCGGCAUGCCUUACACAUGCAAGUCGAACGGCAGCACGGGAGCAAUCCUGGUGGCGAGUGGCGAACGGGUGAGUAAAGUAUCGGAACGUGCCCAGUCGUGGGGGAUAACGUAGCGAAAGUUACGCUAAUACCGCAUACGAUCUAUGGAUGAAAGCGGGGGAUCGUAAGACCUCGCGCGAUUGGAGCGGCCGAUAUCAGAUUAGGUAGUUGGUGGGGUAAAGGCUCACCAAGCCGACGAUCUGCAGCUGGUCUGAGAGGACGACCAGCCACACUGGGACUGAGACACGGCCCAGACUCCUACGGGAGGCAGCAGUGGGGAAUUUUGGACAAUGGGCGAAAGCCUGAUCCAGCCAUGCCGCGUGCAGGAUGAAGGCCUUCGGGUUGUAAACUGCUUUUGUACGGAACGAAAAGGUUUGGGCUAAUAAGCUGAGCUCAUGACGGUACCGUAAGAAUAAGCACCGGCUAACUACGUGCCAGCAGCCGCCGUAA
Molecule: ribosomal RNA, 500 nt
Filed under: uncultured bacterium
Lineage: Bacteria
Description: partial 16S ribosomal RNA
Rfam family: Bacterial small subunit ribosomal RNA
Source: RNAcentral